UGCUCAGUAGAAAGUAAUGUAAACCAGAGAC
Molecule: non-coding RNA, 31 nt
Filed under: Rattus norvegicus (Norway rat)
Lineage: Eukaryota; Metazoa; Chordata; Mammalia; Rodentia; Muridae
Source: RNAcentral